UUACAGAGCAUUGCUUUGUCAAUAAUGUUGUUAGCAGUCAUGGAGCCAAACCACAGUCACUUGUUCAGUGGUGCAAGAGUGGAAGAAGCUAUGGCUAAUAUGUCACACAGCGGGUGGGAAACAAGCUGUGCAGAGCCCACUGUUUGUACCAGACAUGAAGCUGGUCACAUCUCCACCGUAAUGAAAUGGAUCUUGGAUUUUCAUUCAAGCCAAGAAGGGCUGCCAGGAAAAAGAAGUCCAUUAUUUGUGGCUGAUAGGGGAGCAGGAGAGGAGGAGUCUUUUGUCUGCUGCUUCCCCGGGGCCUGGAGCGGAGCGGAGGCUGCUGCUGGCUGGGAAGGGAAGGCAGGAGCGCCGUGGUUUCCCAGGAAGAUUUGCUGAGCAUUGAAUUGUCUGAGGGCAGCGUAGCACACAAUGUCUUUCAGCCUGGCUCAGUAGAGCCAAAAAUGCAGUAAAAAAUCAUUCCUGGUUCCUGAACGACCUGCUAAAAACAGCUUCAAGCAAGUUCUUCUCCCUGCCAUGAGAGCUGCAGCAUCCAGGCUCAGCACAGCAGUUUCAGGUAAAUGAUUGGGCCACAUCCCUGGCCUCUGCAGUGACAUGCCAUGCCUUGGGACCACAGCGGAUGCUUGUCUUCAUGUGCGAAACUCGUGCAUCUGCACAAGAAAGGAACAACUUUUUCCACUAUGCAAGAGGAUGCUGACAACUCAAUUUUGGUCACUUACUGCCAAACUCAACUUGCAACAG
Long non-coding RNA from Calidris pugnax (ruff), 741 nucleotides. RefSeq lists it as uncharacterized. The transcript has 6 exons. Lineage: Eukaryota; Metazoa; Chordata; Aves; Charadriiformes; Scolopacidae. The record is from RefSeq and is a predicted model, not a curated record.